RNAcentral lists this ribosomal RNA (538 nucleotides) under Bifidobacterium longum subsp. infantis. RNAcentral's name for it is "bacterial SSU rRNA". It matches the Rfam family "Bacterial small subunit ribosomal RNA", at positions 145 to 697 of the family's 1533-position model. The record is from RNAcentral. Lineage: Bacteria; Bacillati; Actinomycetota; Actinomycetes; Bifidobacteriales; Bifidobacteriaceae.
UUCUCCUGGAAAACGGGUGGUAAUGCCGGAUGCUCCAGUUGAUCGCAUGGUCUUCUGGGAAAGCUUUCGCGGUAUGGGAUGGGGUCGCGUCCUAUCAGCUUGACGGCGGGGUAACGGCCCACCGUGGCUUCGACGGGUAGCCGGCCUGAGAGGGCGACCGGCCACAUUGGGACUGAGAUACGGCCCAGACUCCUACGGGAGGCAGCAGUGGGGAAUAUUGCACAAUGGGCGCAAGCCUGAUGCAGCGACGCCGCGUGAGGGAUGGAGGCCUUCGGGUUGUAAACCUCUUUUAUCGGGGAGCAAGCGAGAGUGAGUUUACCCGUUGAAUAAGCACCGGCUAACUACGUGCCAGCAGCCGCGGUAAUACGUAGGGUGCAAGCGUUAUCCGGAAUUAUUGGGCGUAAAGGGCUCGUAGGCGGUUCGUCGCGUCCGGUGUGAAAGUCCAUCGCUUAACGGUGGAUCCGCGCCGGGUACGGGCGGGCUUGAGUGCGGUAGGGGAGACUGGAAUUCCCGGUGUAACGGUGGAAUGUGUAGAUAU